AACGAACGCUGGCGGCGUGCCUAAGACAUGCAAGUCGUACGGAAAGGCCCCCUUCGGGGGGCACUCGAGUGGCGCACGGGUGAGUAACGCGUGGGUAAUCUGCCUUAGGGUCUAGGACAACCCCGGGAAACUGGGGCUAAUACUGGAUAAGACCACGAGCUCUUCGGAGCUUGCGGAAAAAGAUGGCCUCUCCUUGGAAGCUAUCGCCCUUCGAUGAGCCCGCGUCCCAUUAGCUAGUUGGUGAGGUGACGGCUCACCAAGGCUUUGAUGGGUAGCUGGUCUGAGAGGAUGAUCAGCCACACUGGAACUGAGACACGGUCCAGACUCCUACGGGAGGCAGCAGUCGGGAAUUUUGGGCAAUGGGCGAAAGCCUGACCCAGCAACGCCGCGUGAGGGAUGAAGGCCCUCGGGUCGUAAACCUCUGUCGGGAGGGAAGAACGGUUGCCGUUCGAACAGGACGGGAGCCUGACGGUACCUCCAAAGGAAGCACCGGCUAACUCCGUGCCAGCAGCCGCGGUAAUAC
Molecule: ribosomal RNA, 523 nt
Filed under: uncultured bacterium
Lineage: Bacteria
Description: bacterial SSU rRNA
Rfam family: Bacterial small subunit ribosomal RNA
Source: RNAcentral